UGAACGCUAGCGACAGGCCUAACACAUGCAAGUCAGGGGCAGCACAAGGAGCAAUCUGAGGUGGCGACCGGCGCACGGGUGAGUAACACGUAUGCAACCUGCCUGUAAGCGGGGAAUAACCCGUUGAAAGACGGACUAAUACCGCAUAAUACUAAAUUACUGCAUGGUAAUUUAUUUAAACAUUUAUGGCUUACAGAUGGGCAUGCGCAUGAUUAGCUAGUUGGAGAGGUAACGGCUCCCCAAGGCAACGAUCAUUAGGGGUUCUGAGAGGAAGGUCCCCCACACUGGUACUGAGACACGGACCAGACUCCUACGGGAGGCAGCAGUGAGGAAUAUUGGUCAAUGGACGAGAGUCUGAACCAGCCAAGUCGCGUGCAGGAAGAAUGUCCCUAUGGAUUGUAAACUGCUUUUGCAGGGGAAUAAAGUGCAUCACGUGUGAUGUUUUGUAUGUACUCUGCGAAUAAGGAUCGGCUAACUCCGUGCCAGCCGCCGC
Molecule: ribosomal RNA, 493 nt
Filed under: uncultured bacterium
Lineage: Bacteria
Description: bacterial SSU rRNA
Rfam family: Bacterial small subunit ribosomal RNA
Source: RNAcentral